UGGGGAAUAUUGGACAAUGGGGGCAACCCUGAUCCAGCCAUGCCGCGUGAGUGAUGAAGGCCUUCGGGUUGUAAAGCUCUUUUGGCGGGGACGAUGAUAACGGUACCCGCAGAAUAAGCCCCGGCUAACUUCGUGCCAGCAGCCGCGGUAAGACGAAGGGGGCUAGCGUUGUUCGGAAUUACUGGGCGUAAAGCGAGUGUAGGCGGUUGCCGUAGUCAGGUGUGAAAGCCUUGAGCUCAACUCAAGAAAUGCACUUGAUACUGGGUGACUAGAGGACCGGAGAGGAUAGUGGAAUUCCCAGUGUAGUGGUGAAAUACGUAGAGAUUGGGAAGAACACCAGUGGCGAAGGCGGCUAUCUGGACGGUUACUGACGCUAAGACUCGAAAGCGUGGGGAGCAAACAGGAUUAGAUACCCUGGUAGUCCACGCCGUAAAACGAUGGGUGCUAGACGUUGGCGAGCUUGCUCGUCAGUGUCGCAGCUAACGCGUUAAGCACCCCGCCUGGGGAGUACGGCCGCAAGGUUGAAACUCAAAUGAA
Molecule: ribosomal RNA, 537 nt
Filed under: uncultured bacterium
Lineage: Bacteria
Description: partial 16S ribosomal RNA
Rfam family: Bacterial small subunit ribosomal RNA
Source: RNAcentral